UACGACGGGGGCUAACGUUGUUCGGAAUCGCUGGGCGUAAAGCGCACGCAGGCGGACCGAUAAGUCGGGGGUGAAAGCCCGGGGCACAAACUCGGAAUUGCCUUCGAUACUGUCGGUCUCGAGUCCGGGAGAGGUGAGUUGAAUUCCUAGUGUAGAGGUGAAAUUCGUAGAUAUUAGGAAGAACACCAGUGGCGAAGGCAGCUCACUGGCCCGGUACUGACGCUCAGGUGCGAAAGCGUGGGGAGCAAACAGG
Molecule: ribosomal RNA, 253 nt
Filed under: uncultured bacterium
Lineage: Bacteria
Description: partial 16S ribosomal RNA
Rfam family: Bacterial small subunit ribosomal RNA
Source: RNAcentral